UGAGUCAAAGGGACAAAUGGACACAAAACGGAUGCUUGCAUACGUGUUUGUGUCUAUGGGGACCGCAAAAACAUGAGAAAGCAGCCAUUUUUGUAAAAAAAUGAGCGGAUUUCGAAUGUUUUCGUGAUUUUGAGAGUGCAAGGCACGGAAAAAUCACGUAUGACUCA
Molecule: small RNA, 167 nt
Organism: Firmicutes bacterium CAG:56
Lineage: Bacteria; Bacillati; Bacillota
Rfam family: Clostridiales-1 RNA
Source: Rfam